AGCGAAGCAAGACCGCGAGGUGGAGCAAAUCGCUAAAAGCCGUCCCAUUCGGAUCGCAGGCUGCAACUCGCCUGCGUCAAGUUGGAAUUGCUAGUAAUCGCGGAUCAGCAUGCCGCGGUGAAUACGUUCCCGGGCCUUGUACACACCGCCCGUCACACCAUGAGAGUCGGGAACACCCGAAGUCCGUAGUCUAACCGCAAGGAGGGCGCGGCCGAAGGUGGGUUCGAUAAUUGGGGUGAAGUCGUAACAAGGUAAC
Molecule: ribosomal RNA, 256 nt
Filed under: uncultured bacterium
Lineage: Bacteria
Description: partial 16S ribosomal RNA
Rfam family: Bacterial small subunit ribosomal RNA
Source: RNAcentral